UAACAGGUUGAUAUUCCUGUACCACCUAUAAUCGUUUUAAUCGAUGGGGGGACGCAGUAGGAUAGGCGAAGCGUGCGAUUGGAUUGCACGUCUAAGCAGUAAGGCUGAGUAUUAGGCAAAUCCGGUACUCGUUAAGGCUGAGCUGUGAUGGGGAGAAGACAUUGUGUCUUCGAGUCGUUGAUUUCACACUGCCGAGAAAAGCCUCUAGAUAGAAAAUAGGUGCCCGUACCGCAAACCGACACAGGUAGUCAAGAUGAGAAUUCUAAGGUGAGCGAGCGAACUCUCGUUAAGGAACUCGGCAAAAUGACCCCGUAACUUCGGGAGAAGGGGUGCUCUUUAGGGUUAACGCCCAGAAGAGCCGCAGUGAAUAGGCCCAAGCGACUGUUUAUCAAAAACACAGGUCUCUGCUAAACCGUAAGGUGAUGUAUAGGGGCUGACGCCUGCCCGGUGCUGGAAGGUUAAGAGGAGUGGUUAGCUUCUGCGAAGCUACGAAUCGAAGCCCCAGUAAACGGCGGCCGUAACUAUAACGGUCCUAAGGUAGCGAAAUUCCUUGUCGGGUAAGUUCCGACCCGCACGAAAGGCGUAACGAUUUGGGCACUGUCUCAACGAGAGACUCGGUGAAAUCAUAGUACCUGUGAAGAUGCAGGUUACCCGCGACAGGACGGAAAGACCCCGUGGAGCUUUACUGUAGCCUGAUAUUGAAAUUCGGCACAGCUUGUACAGGAUAGGUAGGAGCCUUUGAAACGUGAGCGCUAGCUUACGUGGAGGCGCUGGUGGG
Molecule: ribosomal RNA, 778 nt
Filed under: Staphylococcus aureus
Lineage: Bacteria; Bacillati; Bacillota; Bacilli; Caryophanales; Staphylococcaceae
Description: partial 23S ribosomal RNA
Rfam family: Bacterial large subunit ribosomal RNA
Source: RNAcentral